RNAcentral lists this ribosomal RNA (433 nucleotides) under uncultured bacterium. RNAcentral describes it as "partial 16S ribosomal RNA". It matches the Rfam family "Bacterial small subunit ribosomal RNA", at positions 29 to 507 of the family's 1533-position model. The record is from RNAcentral.
AACGAACGCUGGCGGCAUGUCUAACACGUGCAAGUCGAACGAGACCUUCGGGUCUAGUGGCGCACGGGUGCGUAACGCGUGGGAACCUGCCCUUAGGUUCGGAAUAACUCCCCGAAAGGGGUGCUAAUACCGGAUAAUGUCUUCGGACCAAAGAUUUAUCGCCUUUGGAUGGGCCCGCGUUGGAUUAGCUAGUUGGUAGGGUAAAAGCCUACCAAGGCGACGAUCCAUAGCUGGUCUGAGAGGAUGAUCAGCCACACUGGGACUGAGACACGGCCCAGACUCCUACGGGAGGCAGCAGUGGGGAAUAUUGGACAAUGGGCGAAAGCCUGAUCCAGCAAUGCCGCGUGAGUGAUGAAGGCCUUAGGGUUGUAAAGCUCUUUUACCCGGGAUGAUAAUGACAGUACCGGGAGAAUAAGCUCCGGCUAACUCCGUG